UACAGAGACUGCAAGCGUUAUUCGGAUUCACUGGGCGUAAAGGGUGCGCAGGCGGCCAAGUGUGUGAGGCGUGAAAGCCUGGAGCUUAACUCCAGAAUUGCACCUCAAACUACAUGGCUAGAGCAUUGGAGAGGGUAGCGGAAUUCACGGUGUAGCAGUGAAAUGCGUAGAGAUCCGGAGGAACGCCGGUGGCGAAAGCGGCCACCUGGGUCUCUUCGUGACGCU
RNAcentral lists this ribosomal RNA (225 nucleotides) under uncultured bacterium. RNAcentral describes it as "partial 16S ribosomal RNA". It matches the Rfam family "Bacterial small subunit ribosomal RNA", at positions 524 to 747 of the family's 1533-position model. The record is from RNAcentral.